CCUACGGGAUGCAGCAGUGGGGAAUCUUGCACAAUGGGGGAAACCCUGAUGCAGCGACGCCGCGUGAGCGAUGAAGGACUUCGGUAUGUAAAGCUCUAUCAGCAGGGAAGAAAAUGACGGUACCUGACUAAGAAGCCUCGGCUAACUACGUGCCAGCAGCCGCGGUAAUACGUAGGGGGCAAGCGUUAUCCGGAUUUACUGGGUGUAAAGGGAGCGUAGACGGUCCUGCAAGACAGAUGGGAAGGCCCGGGGCUCAACCCCGAGACUGCAUUUGAAACUGUAAGGCUAGAGUGUCGGAGAGGCAGGCGGAAUUCCUAGGGUAGCGGUGAAAUGCGUAGAUAUUAGGAGGAACACCGGUGGCGAAGGCGGCCUGCUGGACUGCAACUGACGUUGAGGCCCGAAAGCGUAGGGAGCAAACAGGAUUAGAUACCCUUGUAGUC
RNAcentral lists this ribosomal RNA (440 nucleotides) under uncultured bacterium. RNAcentral's name for it is "partial 16S ribosomal RNA". It matches the Rfam family "Bacterial small subunit ribosomal RNA", at positions 338 to 795 of the family's 1533-position model. The record is from RNAcentral.